Molecule: small nucleolar RNA, 90 nt
Organism: Ipomoea nil (Japanese morning glory)
Lineage: Eukaryota; Viridiplantae; Streptophyta; Magnoliopsida; Solanales; Convolvulaceae
Source: Rfam
UGGCGAUGAUUAAAAUGGAUUUAUCCGCGCUUCUGAGAGCAAUCGAUGAAGCAAGAACAAAUAAAUGGUUGAAUUUCUUAAUAUGAGCCU